UACAGAGGUCUCAAGCGUUGUUCGGAUUCAUUGGGCGUAAAGGGUGCGUAGGUGGCGCCGUAAGUCGGGUGUGAAAUUUCGGAGCUUAACUCCGAAACUGCAUUCGAUACUGCGGUGCUUGAGGACUGGAGAGGAGACUGGAAUUCAUGGUGUAGCAGUGAAAUGCGUAGAGAUCAUGAGGAAGACCAGUGGCGAAGGCGGGUCUCUGGACAGUUCCUGACACCGAGGCACGAAGGCCAGGGGAGCAAACAGG
Molecule: ribosomal RNA, 253 nt
Filed under: uncultured bacterium
Lineage: Bacteria
Description: partial 16S ribosomal RNA
Rfam family: Bacterial small subunit ribosomal RNA
Source: RNAcentral